This 253-nucleotide ribosomal RNA is filed under the name uncultured bacterium. RNAcentral describes it as "partial 16S ribosomal RNA". It matches the Rfam family "Bacterial small subunit ribosomal RNA", at positions 524 to 776 of the family's 1533-position model. The record is from RNAcentral.
UACGUAGGUGACAAGCGUUGUCCGGAUUUACUGGGCGUAAAGAGCGCGCAGGCGGUCGUUCAAGUCGAGUGUGAAAGCCCCCGGCUCAACUGGGGAGGGUCAUUCGAUACUGAUCGACUCGAAGGCAGGAGAGGGUAGUGGAAUUCCUGGUGUAGCAGUGAAAUGCGUAGAUAUCAGGAGGAAUACCGAUGGCGAAGGCAGGUCUCUGGGCUGACACUGACGCUCAUGCACGAAAGCGUGGGGAGCAAACAGG